AGAUUGAACGCUGGCGGUAUGCUUAACACAUGCAAGUCGAACGGUAGCAGGCCUUCGGGCGCUGACGAGUGGCGGACGGGUGAGUAACGCGUAGGAAUCUGCCUCGUAGUGGGGGACAACGUGGGGAAACCCACGCUAAUACCGCAUACGUCCCGCACCUAUCUUUUGAUGCCUUGGUUGGCUUCCGGCGAUGUCUCGCGAUGAGGCAGGCGUGGGAGCGGGGCUAGGGUGCAAAAGAUAGGUGCGGGAGAAAGCGGGGGACCUUUUAGGCCUCGCGCUAUGAGAUGAGCCUGCGUGGGAUUAGCUAGUUGGUAGGGUAAAGGCCUACCAAGGCUGCGAUCCCUAGCUGGUCUGAGAGGACGACCAGCCACACUGGGACUGAGACACGGCCCAGACUCCUACGGGAGGCAGCAGUGGGGAAUAUUGGACAAUGGGCGCAAGCCUGAUCCAGCAAUACCGCGUGUGUGAAGAAGGCCCGAGGGUUGUAAAGCACUUUCAACGGGGAAGAAAAAGCUAAGGCCAAUACCCUUAGCCUUGACAUUACCCGUACAAGAAGCACCGGCUAACUCCGUGCCAGCAGCCGCGGUAAUACGGAGGGUGCGAGCGUUAAUCGGAAUUACUGGGCGUAAAGCGUGCGUAGGCGGUGGGUUAAGUUAGAUGUGAAAGCCCCGGGCUCAACCUGGGAACGGCAUUUAAAACUGGCCGGCUAGAGUUAGGUAGAGGGGAGCGGAAUUCCGGGUGUAGCGGUGAAAUGCGUAGAUAUCCGGAGGAACACCAGUGGCGAAGGCGGCUCCCUGGACCCAAACUGACGCUGAGGUACGAAAGCGUGGGUAGCAAACAGGAUUAGAUACCCUGGUAGUCCACGCCGUAAACGAUGUCGACUAGCCGUUGGGCCCUUAUGGGGUUUAGUGGCGCAGCUAACGCCUUAAGUCGACC
RNAcentral lists this ribosomal RNA (936 nucleotides) under uncultured bacterium. RNAcentral's name for it is "bacterial SSU rRNA". It matches the Rfam family "Bacterial small subunit ribosomal RNA", at positions 26 to 870 of the family's 1533-position model. The record is from RNAcentral.